Molecule: ribosomal RNA, 292 nt
Filed under: uncultured bacterium
Lineage: Bacteria
Description: partial 16S ribosomal RNA
Rfam family: Bacterial small subunit ribosomal RNA
Source: RNAcentral
GUGUCAGCCGCCGCGGUAAGACAGAGGUGGCAAGCGUUGUUCGGAAUUACUGGGCUUAAAGGGCGCGUAGGCGGUGGAGUAAGUCUGAGGUGGAAGAUUAGGGCUUAACCCUAAAAUUGCCUUGGAAACUGCAUCACUUGAGUCAGCGAGGGGAUGGCGGAAUUCCAGGUGUAGCGGUGAAAUGCGUAGAUAUCUGGAGGAAGGCCGGUGGCGAAGGCGGCCAUCUGGCGCUGAACUGACGCUGAGGCGCGAAAGCGUGGGGAGCAAACAGGAUUAGAAACCCCGGUAGUCC